UCCGAGAGGAGAAGAAUCCAGACCAUCGGCUAAGGUCCCGAAAUAAUAGCUAAGUUGACCAAACGAAGUCAGAGUGCGAAGACAGCUAGGAUGUUGGCUUGGAAGCAGCCAUUCAUUUAAAGAGUGCGUAACAGCUCACUAGUCGAGUGCUUUGGCGUGGAUAAUAAUCGGGCAUAAGCUAUUUACCGAAGCUGUGGGAUGUGUAAACAUCGGUAGGGGAGCAUUCUAGCGGCGCUGAAGGUGAGAGGACAACUCUUGCUGGAGCUUCUAGAAAAGCAAAUGUAGGUAUAAGUAACGAUAAAGGAGGUGAGAAACCUCCUCGCCGAAAGACUAAGGUUUCCUGAUCAACGCUAAUCGGAUCAGGGUUAGUCGGGGCCUAAGGGGAAGCCGAACGGCGCACCCGAUGGAAGAACCGGUUAAUAUUCCGGUACUAAUUAUGUGAGCGAUGUGGAGACGGAGAUGUGACGGUCCUGCCAACUGACGGAAUAGUUGGUUGAAGGGUGUAGGAGUUGAUCUGAGUAGGCAAAUCCGCUCGGAGAUCCGAACCUGACAGUACUCUGAGUGCUUGCACAAGGAGAUAUGGACAACUGUAACGGUGCUCCCAAGAAAAUCCGCUAAGCAUAUUGCAUGAUUACCCGUACCAUAAACCGACACAGGUGGUUGGGUUGAGUAUACUAAGGCGCUCGAGUGAUUCGCGGUUAAGGAACUAGGCAAAAUAGUCCUGUAACUUCGGAAUAAAGGACGCUCACAGUGAAGGCUGUGAGCCGCAGAGAAUAGGCCCAGGCGACUGUUUAACAAAAACACAUGGCUAUGCUAAAUCGAAAGAUACUGUAUAUAGCCUGACACCUGCCCGGUGCUGGAAGGUUAAGAGGAGAUGUCAUCGCAAGAGAAGCAUUGAAUUGAAGCCCCAGUAAACGGCGGCCGUAACUAUAACGGUCCUAAGGUAGCGAAAUUCCUUGUCGGGUAAGUUC
Molecule: ribosomal RNA, 971 nt
Filed under: Veillonella sp.
Lineage: Bacteria; Bacillati; Bacillota; Negativicutes; Veillonellales; Veillonellaceae
Description: partial 23S ribosomal RNA
Rfam family: Bacterial large subunit ribosomal RNA
Source: RNAcentral